GAUUACCCCCAGAGCUGAAGGGCCAGAGAGGGGAUCAACUUCAACCCCUCUUCAGUCCCCGGGCUGCCGGCGAGGACUGGCUUCCGCCCGGCAGCCCCAGCGCAGGGGUCCGGGGCACCCGCCGCUCCUCUUGGCGUGGGGGAAAAGCCUUUACACCUCCGUAAAUCGCGUGAGAAGUGGCUACAAGCUCUGAUAAGGGCUCUUGGCAGCUCCUAAGGCCGUGUACGUUUUGGUUGGCCCAAGUUGUGUGUGCAGCGGGGUGAGGAAUUAAAAGAAAGUUCAGGCUCGGAAAAAAAACAAACAUAGUACCUUUUAUUCACACUUCACAAUACCCUACCAGCCUUCUCCCUUUCAGUCUGUCAGUAAGUAGAAUUAGUGUGUAUGAUAUAAACCCAGCCAUUAGAAGUUACUGAUAAUCAGACAUAUUGAUAUAAGUACUUUCGAGAUGUUUUCAGCUCUAUGGCUAACCUAAUUGUACCUUAAAAUAUGUUUAACCACUAUUACAGUUUAUAAACCAAAUUCUGUUACAUGAUGUGACUUAUAUGCAACUAAAAUUUAUCAAUGCAGUAGAAAUAAGAGCAACCUUAAUGGUCUAAAAGAUUAAAUAAAUUUUCUUGUUUGUUAGCCUGUUAUGAGAUUCACAAAUGGCAUUUCAUAGAAAAUAACAAUGUUGUGGAGUGUUGGGUAAAUGGGAAAAGUCCAUUGCUCCAGUCUUCAGCUGUGUGAACAUAUGUGCAUCAUGUACAUGUGUGUGUGUAUGAACACAUGGCUGUCUUUUGGGUUCUCUGUUUUCUUUUGCCUGGUGUACCAGUUUUAAGCUUUUUGCUUGUGUUUUCAGCCCUGAAGUACUCUGACUCAGACUUCACCUCUAUCAUUAAUACUUGUUGCCAUGUUAACUUGCUUCUCAGCAACAGUGUGCCUAUUUUGUCCCCCUCUUAUCCCAGCUGCCUAUUUUCUACUAGGUUGCCUUCAUGUAUGGAAUGCCUUUCUUUUGUAUUACCUAGAAGAAACAAAUUAUAUUGUUUCUAACACCAGCAAACUGUUAGAGAACCAUUAAGAGCAACCUGGGAACAGUUUCUGGAAACAAAGAAGGAAAGCAGAUCACUGCCACAUUUUUCAGAAAAUUACUUUUUUUGAAUACAAAUGUACAAGGAACUUUUGAACAUGCAUCGCAGCAACUAAAAGGUGCUCAACAAAGCAAUGCACUUACUUCAAACUAGAAAAGUAAUUGAUUACAAUGGUGAAGAAACUCCACUAAUAUCGAGGUAUGCUGGAUUACAUAAAAACCCCAUAUGAGGCUUCCUCACUUAGGAAACUGCUUUGGUUUGCAAUGUGUGUAUUGUCCAGAGAUGUCUCUAGUGCAUACUGCUCACUUCUCUGGAAGCUGAGUCAGACAGUUUCUGACAGAAAAGUAACUGAUGCACUCUUCUUAAUGUUUCCAUGUUUUUCAAUUAGUAGCUACAGUACAGAAUUAAUCAAAACUCAACAAUUAUUGGAUUAAUUCCAUUUUGAGGUAAAUCAGACAGCAGCUGGCAGCAAAAAUAGUUUAACCAUACUUCAUCUCAUAUAUGCACAUUCAUAAAAAGAAUGGUAUAAAAAGAUUAAGGUCUUGUAUAUCUAUAAACUGGGGACAAUAAAAAAGAUCUUCAGAAAACACUGUUUUGUUCAUGCACUGAAAUCACAGCAGUGUAUAAACUACUUUUUUUUCCAAAUACAGUGGGGUUUUUUAUUUUUAAGUUUCACAAGUAUUGAUCUUAAUUAAAGACAACAUAAAAUAUUUGCUUAGAAAUUAUUAUGUGGGUAAAUAUAAACAGGAUUGGUAGCAUAUUCUAAGAAGCAGUCUCACCUUUCUUAUUACAAUUAAUCCACUUAAAAUUCUUCAUAAUUCUAUCAUGACAAAAGUAGGAAAUUUUCAUAUCAUAUAUUUUCCUUAAAUUGGAAAACUGCAUGCAAAGAUAAGUUAAAUAAAAAUUGAGACUACUAAGAUUUGUCUGGUUAAGUCUGUUGAAUGGUAAUCAGAAAUUUGAAUUAGCUCUGGUCUGCCAUGGAGUUCUACAAGAAAGGAAGGGAAGCCUUGGAAGCUUCAUAGUCUACAUUGUUCUGUUGUUUUGGGACAAUUAACAAGUCUUUACCUUUUUCUGCUCCACUUUCCUGUUCAUUCCUCCCUCUGAUUCCCAACACUAGGUAUGUCCUUCCAUGCUUAAGCAGCUGUGCAAAAAGACAGUAUAUAAAUAUAUCUGUCAAUAAUAAUAUCUUGUCAUGUGCUUUACAACAGCUAUCUCAAUUUUCAUAUUUAUUAAAUCUGAUAAAAAUGUUUAAUUUUUGAAUAUAGCGUUGAUAAUUAUUUCUUGCUUUCCAGUUCUGUUUUGUUUUGUUUAACAUUUUACUGCAGCAUUGAGAAACCUGAAUGAGUACAUUCAGGUUUGAGAACAGAACUCAGGUAUGAGAACAAAUAAAUUGGGAAACUGCCUUUUGGGGAUAAAAUGCAUGAUGUAAUAGUAUUUAAUUUCCUAAAACUUUCCUUUAAUUUAAUAUUUUGAAGAUGAUGUUUAGAGUGAAAACUGCGUGUGUAAGAGUGUACUAGAACAUUGAGGAUUAAAAUAAAAAAAAACGGAAUUAAUGUACAUAAAUACACUGGAAUGAAAAUUAGUUUAACACAGGGAUAUUCCAUUGAAACCCAACCACUUUUCUUUUGAUGGUGGGAUUAAGUAAGGAAUAUAUCAACACUGACAAUAUGAAGCAGUGAUUGCCUUGGAGAAGGUGAAGAUAUGUGAACAGGGAAACAGCUUCCCAGAAGAACAGAACUAGAAGCAGCAGUCACUGAAGAGGAUUCCCUAGAAGAGCAGGCU
Molecule: long non-coding RNA, 2849 nt
Organism: Pezoporus occidentalis (night parrot)
Lineage: Eukaryota; Metazoa; Chordata; Aves; Psittaciformes; Psittacidae
Exons: 3
Source: RefSeq, a predicted model, not a curated record